UAUGCAAUGAUAGUACAACACAACCGGUAAAGCUAUCGAACUUCAUGGAAUGUACAAUCGCAAAUAGAGUGCCACUAGGUGCUCUCAUCAACAUUGCUGGAUCGAGUAACAAACGAAGAACCGCAGUGACAUUCAACACUUUUCCGAUUGAAACGUUUGUCUUUCCGCUCCCAUUUACCGAUUCUUAAGGUUGAUUAGAAUACCAAAUCCAGCCAGCGUCAUGCACCAUUUCGCUUUAUCGUCGCACGAGUCUCAAGAACACACAAUAGUACAACGGGCUCACGGUAACGCACAUAUCAAUAAACAUGUCUCUAUCAAUGUGUAGGCCAUACUCUACUGCUAAGACCACACCGCAGUACACGGCCAGAGUAGCAACAAGAUCAUUAAAUUCUUACUCACCAUACGCCCACCCCAUCUUAACCUUUCCCCCGUCACACAAUAACCUUGCCACGAUUGCGACGGUAGUCAAAUUUUCGUGUCGUCUCCAGUCGAAUGCCAAUGCUGCGAUUGUAAAAACGGCGUUUUGUUUUGUAGUUUUAACCUUUCUCACGCCAUCCAUCCGCAUUCCGUCAUUCGGCUGGUUUCGCUGGCUGCCGUUUCUGUUGGCGGAUUAACACAACUCAACUCAAUCUUGCAGCAGCCGAGCGCCGCAGCCAGCCUCGCUCGCAAACAAGAUAGCGCUAAGAGGGAGGUCGGUCGGCUCCCGGAGGUGAGCUCGUCAAACCGUAUUGUCCUCGUUUUGGCCUGGGAACUCCAGGUCGGGUGUACGCGAGAUUAUUUCACCGAGCAAAGCAAACGAUUAACCGAUCGGAAUCAAUGGAGGCGCCUAGUAACCAAUAAAAGCCACUCGACAUGGUGUGUCAGCGUGCGUUUAGAGAUCGGCCCGUAAUUGUUUGGUCGACGUUUUACAAGUUGAAGGGAUUGCUUUCAAAGUGGAAAUGGCGAAUCGCGUCGCACAUUCUACGCCCAACCAUAGGAUGGGGGUUGAAGUGAGUAAAGCCAUACAUCGAUGAUGGAGGCUUUCUUCUUUAUUGUGUUAGGAAGCAAUUUGAAUUAUUUACUCAAAAAACCACCUUUACGCUGCGUGGCUGUGUAGUAAACAUAAAUAGGCUUUAUAAAAUCAUUUUCAUGCGUUAUUUAAUUUAAGCUGUAAGUUAGAACAAAAUCCCGCUCAUAACCUUAAUUACACUAAAACCGCGAAAUUGACUAAACAAAAUUGUCAACAUGGGGGCGUUUGAGGUACCUGUUUUUUUUACUCCUCAUUCUACAAUAAUUAAUGAGAGCGCUGUCUCCUGUACUUGUCCUUCGUGUUUGAUGAUGGGCUUACAAGCAAUCCCAAAGCGGCUUGGUUUUCGGCGUGGAAAUGUCUUUUUUUAAUUUCGUUAAAAAGACGGUUGGGCGGCUGCUUCGUGGCUAAUUAGAGCCUCAGAGUUGAUCAGCAACCUAAUUAAUACAAAACAAUCCAAAGAUUCCAACUAGAGGACGAUGAAGAGGCGGGAACAUAAUAGCUAUCAUCAGGUGCGCUCCUAAAGCUUGCGGUUUGACGCGUACAGCAUAUUACUGCCCGCAUAAGCUCAAGGCUAUAAAACCGGGUUGAGAAAUUAACAUUCCUGCACCGUUCUGUUCCGACAGAGACCAUGCACACACACACACACAGGGGAUGACGAACUUCUGCCAGGAUCGGGACGAGAACCGUAUCGCUAAGAUAAAGCCGCACGAAAGCGAUUGAAUUUCAAAGUUUUGUGCGAGAUAAUUCAGUCCACGAUCGGGGUGGCACGUUUCCACUCAAGGUAUUGAUCGAAGGGAUUUCAUCUCGUCGUAUCUCGAUUGAAACUAAAAGCGAUGCCCGUGUGCUGUGUUCACUACCUUCACUACCUAGCUACAUUCGUGAAAUGGACAGUGGAAUGCCUUACACGGUAAUAAGCCCACAAACCAAUAGAUAGAUUUUGCGGAAAGAUCUGGCAAGCCGUAUAUAUUACGUGGCAAAUACACAAAUGCCAUUCCCGCGAGCACUGUCGUCCCUUGUGAUCCUUAAAAGAGAAUCAAACAAUGGCGGAGGAUAUCCUGCAACACACGCCCUUUUAUAGCGAGACUGCAACGCAAUUCUACAAUGCCAAUCGCUUUAGAUGGAACGCACUCACAUGAACGCUACCCACCAGAACACAAUCUACCAUCGAUUAAGAACAGCUUGUUUUGCUUUCGUGUGAGAAAAAAUGUGACCCACUUGCCACCGGUUCAUCACAUGGAACGGCAUGCACGGCAUGAGGCGUAGAAAUGUUGCCAUACCCUUUUGCUCCGGAACUGUACUUCGGUCGCACGAUCAACGAUCAAUCAAAACGAUCGAAUGCAAACAUCCACCCACUUGGCAGUGAUCGGUGUGCAGUGGUGGUUUAUGUUUUUUUUUUCGCUUUCACUGCAAGCUUUCUGAAUGUCGUGCAGUUACAGAAGGGGGGUAUGACACCAGGAAAACAAAAAAAAAACACACACACAGUUAACCCAUUAUCGUUUACAUUCCACAUGCCGUUGUUACGUGAAAAUUAAUUACCACCCAUUCUAAUCAGCGCACAGCAUCGGUGCACUUGCGCUGGCCUGCAAUUAUCGUAUCGCUCGCACAUUUUUAGUUCGUAUCAAUAUUCCCACCCUUGAAGGUGGUAAACAGAACCCGCCAUAGCGCCUAAAAUAGAUGAAACGGAAAAGAAGAGCGCGAUCCCCCGAAACAAACAACUGAUCGUGAGCAUCAUCAUGCAUGCAAGGAAGCUGUGAUAGGGACACGACACGGUUUUUACUACGCGCCGUUGCCAGCAACGGGAAGCAACGGGACGGUACGGGUCUGCGGGCACCGCUAUCGCCCGCAGCAAUGUGGCCGAGUAAGUUAAGCGUUAGCCUCCCGAGACCCGCAAACAGUGGUAGGUGGUUAUUUACGAUCAUAUUUACAACUGAUUGUGAUUGUGAACUUUUAGAAAAGUCCAUCAGCUGGCCAGGGUCGCCAGCCAGCCAGUAGUUGCCGUGAAUCUUGGCGGUGGUGUUUCGUGUACGAACGUUGGCAUACGGUGAAUUCCCACGUUGCAAUAGAGAAUGGGUUGUGGGGCUUCACAUGCGUGCAAAUAAAAUCAUUGCCUCUUGAUGUUGG
Molecule: long non-coding RNA, 3130 nt
Organism: Anopheles stephensi (Asian malaria mosquito)
Lineage: Eukaryota; Metazoa; Arthropoda; Insecta; Diptera; Culicidae
Exons: 2
Source: RefSeq, a predicted model, not a curated record